This 464-nucleotide ribosomal RNA is filed under the name uncultured bacterium. RNAcentral's name for it is "bacterial SSU rRNA". It matches the Rfam family "Bacterial small subunit ribosomal RNA", at positions 338 to 795 of the family's 1533-position model. The record is from RNAcentral.
CCUANGGGUGGCAGCAGUCGAGAAUUUUUCACAAUGGGGGAAACCCUGAUGGAGCGACGCCGCGUGGGGGAUGAAUGGCUUCGGCCCGUAAACCCCUGUCAUUUGCGAAUAAACCUUUUCACCUAACACGUGGAAAGCUGAUUGUAGCGAAAGAGGAAGGGACGGCUAACUCUGUGCCAGCAGCCGCGGUAAUACAGAGGUCCCAAGCGUUGUUCGGAUUCACUGGGCGUAAAGGGUGCGUAGGCGGUCGGGUAAGUCUGACGUGAAAUCUUCAAGCUCAACUUGGAAACUGCGUCGGAUACUAUUUGGCUAGAGGAAUGGAGGGGAGACUGGAAUACUUGGUGUAGCAGUGAAAUGCGUAGAUAUCAAGUGGAACACCAGUGGCGAAGGCGAGUCUCUGGACAUUUCCUGACGCUGAGGCACGAAAGCCAGGGGAGCAAACGGGAUUAGAUACCCUANUANUC